UUCCGGUGGUUGGAGUCUCUUCAGCCCAAACAAGACCGUAUUGGCCUGUCACAGCUGCUGACUCGUUCAUUCAUGAAAACAUCCAACUGGUACGUACUAUGGGAUGAGUUUUUGAUUGAACGAUGCAGGAGCCGAGUUUGGCUAUCGCUGUCUCGUCUUGGACUGAAGGGUCUCCUACUCUAAGGCCC
This 188-nucleotide microRNA precursor is filed under the name Nelumbo nucifera (sacred lotus). Its description in RNAcentral is "MIR159 microRNA precursor family". It matches the Rfam family "MIR159 microRNA precursor family". The record is from Rfam by way of RNAcentral. Lineage: Eukaryota; Viridiplantae; Streptophyta; Magnoliopsida; Proteales; Nelumbonaceae.